Molecule: ribosomal RNA, 427 nt
Filed under: uncultured Psychrobacillus sp.
Lineage: Bacteria; Bacillati; Bacillota; Bacilli; Caryophanales; Bacillaceae
Description: bacterial SSU rRNA
Rfam family: Bacterial small subunit ribosomal RNA
Source: RNAcentral
UAGGGAAUCUUCCACAAUGGACGAAAGUCUGAUGGAGCAACGCCGCGUGAGUGAAGAAGGUUUUCGGAUCGUAAAACUCUGUUGUGAGGGAAGAACAAGUACGAGAGUAACUGCUCGUACCUUGACGGUACCUCAUUAGAAAGCCACGGCUAACUACGUGCCAGCAGCCGCGGUAAUACGUAGGUGGCAAGCGUUGUCCGGAAUUAUUGGGCGUAAAGCGCGCGCAGGCGGUCCUUUAAGUCUGAUGUGAAAGCCCACGGCUCAACCGUGGAAGGUCAUUGGAAACUGGGGGACUUGAGUGCAGAAGAGGAAAGUGGAAUUCCAAGUGUAGCGGUGAAAUGCGUAGAGAUUUGGAGGAACACCAGUGGCGAAGGCGACUUUCUGGUCUGUAACUGACGCUGAGGCGCGAAAGCGUGGGGAGCAAACA